GAUGGAGCUGACAGAUGGCUUUGCCAUUCUUCUUAUAUAUGCAGCCCUAAAACAGAUGCUCACACAAUAUUCCUAAAAACUGCUUACCAUCCAGUGCCUUUCUGGUAAGUAGGGAUAUUUAAUAAAGAAUAAGGUCAUGAAUAUACACUAGCCUCUAGCUAGGUCCUCUAGCAAGCAGUUGUAAGAAAAUAAGCAUUGUUAACAUUGAGUCAUCUACAGUAACAAACCAUAAAAUAAUACAGCCUAGAGAGGGAAAAGACCGAUUAAGUCAUCCACUCCAUCUCCUGCCAAGGCAGGCUUCUUUUCUGCCAUAUAUUAUUAAGUGCUUUGUUCAGCCUAAUUUUAAAUUAUUCAAGCAAUUUGAUAUUCACUCUUCCCUUCAGGAGACUACUCUCCAAUUCAAUUCAGAGGUAUGUUUAUUUAUUCCUUGCUCUAUAAAUAAAAUGUUCUUUGCCUAUCUGCACUACCUCAAAAAUUUCUUUUCAAAUUCCUUUUUUCUUUUAAAUUUGUUUUAUUACUAUUGGAGCUGAGAUGUAAAAUGGGCUACGUAAUGGACUUUGGAUGAAACAAAGACAUGAAGUUCUCCUGGAAAAGUAAAUAAAAGGAAGGUGUUUUCUUUGGGUUUGUUUGUUUGUUUAAUUUUGCACUGUAUCUUUAUACACCUCACAAACCAAAGCCAAAUAAAAUAGUAGCCUUUGCACACUGUUGAAUAACUUCUCCAGCCUGCCUCCAACUAUGGCUGUGGCAGUAAGCAUCCCAAGCAGCAGUGGGGGAGAUAUUUUGGGAGCCAUGCAAGAGACAAGGAGGCAGGAAGGCAGGGAGGAAUGGCUGCCCAGCACCCUGACAAGUGAGCUCACUGCCCAUGGACUGUCCUUGGCAGCAGCAGCUUCCUGCAGAGCUGUGCAUGUGGUGGUGUGGUUCUGACUCGAGCAUGCCAAGGGUUUCUAAACUUUUAUGCUUCUCAGAAAUGUAAGAUCAGCUCAGGAAAGCCCUGCAGACCUUGUUGGGUCCUGUGGAUUGCUGGGAGAGGUGUCACAAGGGGAACGACCAAGCACUAAAUGUACAGGACAGCAGAAAACACAGGUGUUCAUCUGUGCCAUGUCAAGUGUUCCAGCAAGCUCGUCCCCAGCCUUAUGCUCCGGUACACUUUACAAGAAGUUUUCAGGUAAUGGGAGUUUAAAAAUUAACUGGUGCACCCUGUGCUGCACACUCAUGAGCCAGAGCCCUUUGAAGUGGGUAGAAAAAUCCCCACAAUGUCAAAGGGCUUUGAAGCUGGCUCUGGGCACAAAGAGACAGUGGUUAAUUUUAUACUGGGACACAGAGGAGCUCUGCCACCCCUGCCACCCCAGCAGGGAACAGCUGCUGGGGACACUGCAGGGCAGAUCCCAGGCAUGGAUGUUGGGCAGCCAGCCAGCACAGCAUCCAUCCUGCAGCCGUGCCUCUGGCUGGCACCUGCCUCCUGCUAGCCAGAUUUAG
Molecule: long non-coding RNA, 1476 nt
Filed under: Cyanistes caeruleus (blue tit)
Lineage: Eukaryota; Metazoa; Chordata; Aves; Passeriformes; Paridae
Description: lncRNA (ENSCCEG00000010379.1)
Source: RNAcentral